GGGGAAUGCCUUGGCUCUCAGAGGCGAAGAAGGACGUGUUAAGCUGCGAAAAGCUGCGGGGAGUUGCACAAAAGCUGUGAUCCGCAGAUAUCCGAAUGGGGCAACCCAGCUGGUUGAAGACCAGUUACCAUUUAAUGGAGCGAACCCGGGGAACUGAAACAUCUAAGUACCCGUAGGAAAGGACAUCAACCGAGACUCCGUCAGUAGCGGCGAGCGAACGCGGACCAGGCCAGUGGCCAUCGAGAGAAGAAGCGGAACAGGUUGGAAAGCCUGGCAAGAGUGGGUGAUAGCCCCGUACGCAUAAUGUCUCCGAUGGUCCUCGAGUAGGGCGGGACACGUGAAAUCCUGUCUGAAAUUAGGGGGACCACCCUCUAAGCCUAAGUACUCGUGCAUGACCGAUAGCGAACAAGUACCGUGAGGGAAAGGUGAAAAGCACCCCGAUUAGGGGAGUGAAACAGUACCUGAAACCGAAUGCUUACAAGCAGUUGGAGCCCCAUAGGGGGUGACAGCGUACCUCUUGCAUAAUGGGUCAGUGACUUAAUUUAUCGAGCAAGCUUAAGCCGUUAGGUGUAGGCGUAGCGAAAGCGAGUCUGA
Molecule: ribosomal RNA, 594 nt
Filed under: Lotharella globosa
Lineage: Eukaryota; Cercozoa; Chlorarachniophyceae
Description: partial Bacterial large subunit ribosomal RNA
Rfam family: Bacterial large subunit ribosomal RNA
Source: RNAcentral